Molecule: ribosomal RNA, 301 nt
Filed under: uncultured bacterium
Lineage: Bacteria
Description: partial 16S ribosomal RNA
Rfam family: Bacterial small subunit ribosomal RNA
Source: RNAcentral
CAGUCGCCGCGGUAAUACGGAGGGGGCUAGCGUUGUUCGGAAUUACUGGGCGUAAAGCGCACGUAGGCGGCUUGGUAAGUUAGAGGUGAAAGCCUGGAGCUCAACUCCAGAAUUGCCUUUAAGACUGCCGAGCUAGCAGGUGAGAGAGGUAAGUGGAAUUCCGAGUGUAGAGGUGAAAUUCGUAGAUAUUCGGAAGAACACCAGUGGCGAAGGCGGCUUACUGGCUCAUACUGGACGCUGAGGUGCGAAAGCGUGGGGAGCAAACAGGAUUAGAUACCCCUGUAGUCCCUGUCUCUUAUAA